This is a long non-coding RNA of Oryctolagus cuniculus (rabbit), 2597 nucleotides long. Lineage: Eukaryota; Metazoa; Chordata; Mammalia; Lagomorpha; Leporidae. The record is from Ensembl.
GGUGGUGGCACCUGCAGACCAGGCCGAGGCUAAUCAGAAGUAAACCUAGAGAUGGGUUGAGGGGACUUUACUAGGGACCCCUAGAGAUGGAAGACGUGGGAGAAGAGAAAUUGCCCCACUCAAAUCUCUUCCUACAAAUGCUCUGGAGCACCUCUUGAAGGCUCCAUGUGCUGAGGUGGACCCCAAAUCCUGCCAGAUGCCAUCACUUAUCCUCCUUUGGACACCUGCACAAAUAUUCCUGGGCCCAGUCUCCUGUUGAGGUCAUUCCUCGUGCCACUGCUUCUGUGUGGCCUCUAAAAACUGAGGGCAACUCCCUCAGCCCCUCUGCUUUUCCUUCAUUAGCAACCCUGCAAUACAAUGAUAAAGACAGGGAUGCACUGCACAGUUCUGACAGAAAUGGGACCCAUCCUGGGGUUGUCUGGGCUGUUGAAGUACUUUCCCUGGGUUGGAGCAUUUCACAUUAAUGAGAAUCUUUUCCCUGAAACUAGACAACUUGCUUCUGGCCGGCUUGUCCUUCAUUGUCCUCAGGGGGCUGUGAGAGUGGGCACCAGCACUCUGUGCUCCUCCUUCAAGCCUUCUACUGACAGCUUCCUCUCCUCCUAUCUUCCUGUCCCAGCCCCUCUGCAUUCUAAUGUGUCUGCCCUGUCCAUGUGAAGGCUCAUGUUGUCUGAACCAGAGAAUGAUUUAGAUCAGAUUGAUCUUAGAGGAUAAUCCUGUCUCUUGGGUGACAACCCUUUCAGACUGCUAGGAGGGAUUGGUGGGACUGGGUUGGAACUGAAUGACCUUGUGUUAAGCCCUCAUCUUUUCCACCCCUCCCAGCCUCUGCUCUGCAUCACACCUCGGGGUGUGUGAAGAUCCACCCCCACUGGAAGGGCCAGAUGUCAUUGUGCCUAUUCUCAAGGAUGAUGGAUCCUACAUGCUCUGUGCAGUUUGGAUGGAUGAUCCUGAAGCGCCAGUCCAGGCCUGUGCUGGGGCCUGGCACCCUACAGCCCAGCAGCCCAUCUGCUGUGCUGAGGCCAUUGUGGUGAAAGAUGCCACCUACCAAAAAGAGAAAGUCAUGUUGGCAACUGCUGAUUGGGCUGAGGCUACCUCCAGGGUGUGUGGAGAUCCACCCCCACUGGAAGGGCCAGAUGUCAUUGUGCCUAUCCUCAAGGAUGAUGGAUCCUACUUGCUCUGUGGAUACUGGGCAGAUGAGCCUGAAGCACCAGUCCAGGCCUGGGCUGGGGCUCUGCACCCUACAGCCCAGCAGCCCAUCUGCUGUGCGGAGGCCAUUGUGGUGGAAGAUAGCUCCAGCCAGAAGGAGAAAAUAGAGGUGGCAUCUGCAGAGCAGACUGAGGCCAUACCCAGGGUGGGUGGAGAUCCACCCCCACUGGAAGGGCCAGAUGUCAUCGUGCCUAUCCUCAAGGAUGACGGAUCCUACCUGCUCUGUGCAUAUUGGGCAGAUGAGCCUGAAGCCCCAGUCCAGGCCUGGGCUGGGGCCCUGCACCCUACAGCCCAGCAGCCCAUCUGCUGUGCUGAGGCCAUUCUCGUGGAAGAGCCCUCAUCACAAGAGGAGGAAGGGAAGGUGGCACGUGCAGACCAGGCUGAGGCUAAUCAGAGGUGCUAAGAACUUCCUCUGGUGGAUACCAUGAAACCUGACUCUGUUCAUUCCAGGACCCCAUUUAUAUUAAAGUUUGGUUUUGUUAAUUAUUUGGGUUGAAUAUUUUGCUCCAUAAUCUUUAAACCUCACAAAUACAUGGAUUAGUAUAACACUGGAACCUGGAAUUCUAGGUGUCUUCUGAUAACUGUAGUCAAGAUUGCUCCUAUGCCACAGGACGUGUCUACAUGCAUCAAGUCUAGUGAAAAAAGCCAGACAUAGUCCAAUACCAUGUGAGUACAGGUUAAAGCAGACCUGCUAGGAGUGCACAGUAAGGAGGCAGUUCUAAGGUGAAUGCAAGAAUGCAUAUACUCAAGAUGAGCAUGAGAAUCUCUCAAGACAGUGAGGGAGUGUCAUUAGAAAGGCGUGUGGGACUCUUCUGGAAUCUUAGUGGGGAUAUUCACUUUCAACAACAUAUUAAUGUGUCCCCUUGAAUUUCAUGGGUCUUUCUCCAUACUGGUUUACAAAACAAAGGAAAAUGAUCGGGCCGGCACCAUGGCUCAAUAGGCUAAUCCUCCACCUAGCAGCACCGGCACACUGGGUUCUAGUCCCGGUUGGGGCACCAGAUUCUGUCCCAGUUGCUCCUCUUCCAGGCCAGCUCUCUGCUGUGGCCAGGGAGUGCAGUAGAGGAUGGCCCAAGUGCUUGUGCCCUGCACCCCAUGGGAGACCAAGAAAAGCACUUGGCUCCUGCCUUCAGAUCAGUGCGGUGUGUCGGUCACAGCGUGCCAGCUGUGGCAGCCUUUGGAGGGUGAACCAAUGGCAAAAAGGAAGACCUUUCUCUCUGUCUCUCUCUCUCACUGUCCACUCUGCCUGUCCAAAAAAAAAAAAAUGAUCAUUUCCUGUCAGCACAUCAUCACAGGAAGCACACAGGGAACUACAAAAUUUGGCUGUUUCUCUUCUGCACAGUGCAGUGAGCCUUGGGCCCCUUGCUGCCUGACUGUUGAGCAAAGGGUAGGAGGUG